UAGGGAAUCUUCCGCAAUGGACGCAAGUCUGACGGAGCAACGCCGCGUGAGUGAAGAAGGAUUUCGGUUCGUAAAACUCUGUUGUUAGAGAAGAACAGCGCAUAGAGUAACUGUUAUGCGUGUGACGGUAUCUAACCAGAAAGCCACGGCUAACUACGUGCCAGCAGCCGCGGUAAUACGUAGGUGGCAAGCGUUGUCCGGAUUUAUUGGGCGUAAAGCGAGCGCAGGCGGUCAAUUAAGUCUGAUGUGAAAGCCCCCGGCUCAACCGGGGAGGGUCAUUGGAAACUGGUUGACUUGAGUGCAGAAGAGGAGAGUGGAAUUCCAUGUGUAGCGGUGAAAUGCGUAGAUAUAUGGAGGAACACCAGUGGCGAAGGCGACUCUCUGGUCUGUAACUGACGCUGAGGCUCGAAAGCGUGGGUAGCAAACAG
Molecule: ribosomal RNA, 428 nt
Filed under: Bacteroidota bacterium
Lineage: Bacteria; Pseudomonadati; Bacteroidota
Description: Bacteroidetes bacterium partial 16S ribosomal RNA
Rfam family: Bacterial small subunit ribosomal RNA
Source: RNAcentral